RNAcentral lists this ribosomal RNA (793 nucleotides) under Agroathelia delphinii. Its description in RNAcentral is "eukaryotic LSU rRNA". It matches the Rfam family "Eukaryotic large subunit ribosomal RNA", at positions 96 to 879 of the family's 3401-position model. The record is from RNAcentral. Lineage: Eukaryota; Fungi; Basidiomycota; Agaricomycetes; Amylocorticiales; Amylocorticiaceae.
AAGCGGGAAAAGCUCAAAUUUAAAAUCUGGUAGUCUCUGGCUGCCCGAGUUGUAAUCUGGAGAAGUGUUUUCUGUGCUGGGCCGUGUACAAGUCUCUUGGAAUAGAGCGUCAUAGAGGGUGAGAAUCCCGUCUUUGACACGGACAUCCAGUGCUCUGUGAUGCACUCUCAAAGAGUCGAGUUGUUUGGGAAUGCAGCUCAAAAUGGGUGGUAAAUUCCAUCUAAAGCUAAAUAUUGGCAAGAGACCGAUAGCGAACAAGUACCGUGAGGGAAAGAUGAAAAGAACUUUGGAAAGAGAGUUAAACAGUACGUGAAAUUGUUGAAAGGGAAACGCUUGAAGUCAGUCGCGUCUAGCAAGGAUCAGCCCUUCUCGGAGGGUGUAUUUCUUGCUUGACGGGUCAACAUCAAUUUUGACUACUGGAAAAAGGCCAGGGGAAGGUGGCACCUUCGGGUGUGUUAUAGCCUUUGGUCAUAUACAGUAGUUGGGAUUGAGGAAUUCAGCAUGCCUUCAUGGCUGGGGUUCGCCCACAUUCAUGCUUAGGAUGUUGGCAUAAUGGCUUUAAGCGACCCGUCUUGAAACACGGACCAAGGAGUCUAACAUACCUGCGAGUGUUUGGGUGUAAAAACCCGAGCGCGUAAUGAAAGUGAAAGUUGAGACCCUUUUAAGGGGCAUCGACGCCCGGACCAGACCUUUUGUGACGGAUCUGCGGUAGAGCAUGUAUGUUGGGACCCGAAAGAUGGUGAACUAUGCCUGAAUAGGGUGAAGCCAGAGGAAACUCUGGUGGAGGCUCGUA